AGCCCGAAGAAAUUUGGAUUAAGACUCUAUAGUAUCAUUUAAAGACAUCUUUUUAUGAUUAAAGGUUACGGUAUGAGAUGAGUAUGCGUUCUAUUAGUUUGUAGGUGAGGUAACGGCUCACCUAGACUGCGAUAGAUAGGGGCCCUGAGAGGGGGACCCCCCACACUGGUACUGAGACACGGACCAGACUCCUACGGGAGGCAGCAGUAAGGAAUAUUGGGCAAUGGGCGAAAGCCUGAACCAGCCAUGCCGCGUGCAGGAUGAAUGCCCUAUGGGUUGUAAACUGCUUUUAUAUAGGAAGAAAAACUUUCUCGUGAGAAAGCUUGACGGUACUGUAAGAAUAAGGAUCGGCUAACUCCGUGCCAGCAGCCGCGGUAAUACGGAGGAUCCAAGCGUUAUCCGGAAUUAUUGGGUUUAAAGGGUCCGUAGGUGGAUAAUUUAGUCAGAGGUGAAAUCCUGCAGCUUAACUGUAGAAUUGCCUUUGAUACUGGUUAUCUUGAGUUAUUAUGAAGUGAUUAGAAUGUGUAGUGUAGCGGUGAAAUGCAUAGAUAUUACACAGAAUACCGAUUGCGAAGGCAGAUUACUAACAAUCAACUGACGCUGAGGGACGAAAGCGUGGGUAGCGAACAGGAUUAGAUACCCUGGUAGUCCACGCCGUAAACGAUGGUCACUAGCUGUUUGGACUUCGGUCUGAGUGGCUAAGCGAAAGUGAUAAGUGACCCACCUGGGGAGUACGUUCGCAAGAAUGAAACU
RNAcentral lists this ribosomal RNA (753 nucleotides) under Acidimicrobiales bacterium. Its description in RNAcentral is "bacterial SSU rRNA". It matches the Rfam family "Bacterial small subunit ribosomal RNA", at positions 145 to 901 of the family's 1533-position model. Lineage: Bacteria; Bacillati; Actinomycetota; Acidimicrobiia; Acidimicrobiales. The record is from RNAcentral.